UUUCCCAUUCCCCUGCCAGGCUCUCCCUGCUGACAUUGUUUUUGCGGGAGAGCUGUGAAUUCUGAAGAUUAGGUUGCUUCUCACCCCAAGCUCCAGAAGUCCAGGCUGAGCCAAACCAAGCUUCAAGUUGUGCCUGGACUUGGAGAACCAGGAGGUGAGGGGACUGACUACUUGAAGAUCACAUGGAGGAGGAGUCUGAUCCAGGCCCAGGCACCAAGGAAAGGCCAUGCAAGGACACAGGGAGAAGGGCAGCUGUCUGUAAGCCAGAAAGAGCCUUCACUAGAAACCAAAUCAGCCAGAACCUUCAUCUUGGACUUUCCAGCCUUCAGAGAUGUGAAAAAAUAAAUUUCUGUUGAUUAACCUA
This 364-nucleotide long non-coding RNA is filed under the name Homo sapiens (human). RNAcentral's name for it is "ZNF24 transcription regulator". The record is from RNAcentral. Lineage: Eukaryota; Metazoa; Chordata; Mammalia; Primates; Hominidae.